GAUACGCCGAAGGGCGGUACCGUGCCUUGAUCAUGUGCGCGUGGGCCCGCUGGCAGUGUCGCAGCAACGCACGCCGUGAUUGCGGCGUCGUAGUCGUGGAAUUUGGCCUCGGCCCCUCGGAGAGCCAUGUGGAGCAGGGCCGAGUCUAGGUGACCGUUGAGGAGGUGCGGGGAUUUUAAAUUUGAAUUUGGCGGGAGAGGGCGCAGGGAUUAUUGAAUGGGGCGGAGAAAAGUUUUGGUUAUUUUUUUCAUUUUAUAAUGUGAGAGGUAAAGUAAAAAAAAUUUGAACGGGAGAUGCAGAGAUGAAUGGAUUUCAAAUAUUUUUUUUUUUCCUUUUUCAAUUUUAGUCCUUUUAAAUUUUUUUUAACAAAUUUUUUUAAUAAAUUUAUAUUUGCAGAAAUAACUCUCUUUCUAUUGCAGAGUACUGUAUUGGACAUAGGAGAGCCAUGUAGGCAUUUAGUAAGUUGAAUACGGCGCGCAAGUCAAUAUGUUUAAACACAGUGACUAGAUUAUUACUUUUAAGUCACCAUAUUUAAACACUGAUUAGAUUAUCAUACUUAACUCAGCAUUGUUCUUUCCCAUCCAACAUUACAUUCGCAUGGUAGAAGGGUCAUAUCUAUAAAUAUAAAUUUGUUAGCAUCAUUUUCUAAAAAUAAUUAAAACCUCUAAAUAAAGUUAUCCAAAAUACCCGAUAUUCCAUAUCCUAUUCGAGCCCUAUCUGAACCCUAUUUGAACCUUAUUCGGGCCAGAAUCAGACCCGAUAAAAAAUAAAUAGCACAUGGGUUAAAAAAAAAUUGCCCAUUAAAGUUUCGGGUAUGGGUCCAAUUACUUUAUAUCCAAAACCGACUUGAACCCGCCCCGAACCCGGACCCAGACCCGGUGAAGUACAUGAUAGUAAAUAAAAAGAAUUUGAAGUUGAGAGAUCAAUUUCAAUAGAACUUAUAACUGAAAGGUCUAUGGUAUUUUCAUCCUAAUAAAAAUUCUAGUCACUCUAUUUAUUCUUUUUUUAUUUUACUCGUUGUUUUUUUAACUCUAGUCGCUUUGUUUACUGCAUGAAUCUUUUUUUUAAACGAAUUUUAUUAGACUGAGUGCAAAAAAUUAGAAUGCAGAUCCAAUCUGUACCCGAUCCAUACUCGAUCUUAAGUGAAUAGUAUACAGAUAGUCGCUAUUCAGAUCCGCUCAAAUAGACCCUAUGUGUAUAUAAUAUUAUUAACUUAAAUAUUUAGACCUGAAC
Molecule: long non-coding RNA, 1233 nt
Filed under: Ananas comosus (pineapple)
Lineage: Eukaryota; Viridiplantae; Streptophyta; Magnoliopsida; Poales; Bromeliaceae
Description: long non-coding RNA (ACOM_LNC000859)
Source: RNAcentral